UACGUAGGGGGCAAGCGUUGUCCGGAUUUAUUGGGCGUAAAGAGCGUGUAGGCGGCCAGACAGGUCCGUUGUGAAAACUCGAGGCUCAACCUCGAGAUGUCGAUGGAAACCGUCUGGCUAGAGUCCGGAAGAGGAGUGUGGAAUUCCUGGUGUAGCGGUGAAAUGCGCAGAUAUCAGGAAGAACACCUAUGGCGAAGGCAGCACUCUGGGACGGUACUGACGCUGGGACGCGAAAGCGUGGGGAGCGAACAGG
RNAcentral lists this ribosomal RNA (253 nucleotides) under uncultured bacterium. RNAcentral describes it as "partial 16S ribosomal RNA". It matches the Rfam family "Bacterial small subunit ribosomal RNA", at positions 524 to 776 of the family's 1533-position model. The record is from RNAcentral.